UGUGCAUUUGCCUGGAGACUAUUGCUAAAAUGUUCUCAGUUCAUUUUUUGAUGUUAGUCAUGUUAUUAUCCUGUAAUGUUACAGAUGUGAUCACUCAUUUUAAAAAAAAAAAAGUUGAAUUUUAUUUUAAUUUGCCCUUUGUCUUUAUUUUCAAAGUUCCAGCAUUUUAGCAGUCUAGGAAAAUGCUUCAGGCUUUUAUUUAUUUAUUUUUUCAGAUUAAAACAAUGUGUGCCUGUAGCAUUCAUCAUUUAAGAAAAUAGUGUUUUUUUCUUUCAGAUCCCAAUUUCCACUCAUUAUUAGAGAGCUGAAUUCUAAAUCAAAGAUUGUGCAGAAGAGAUGUGCAACCUGAAUAAAACAUUUCCAGAAGAGCCUGAAUAAUGGUCCUGAAUAAAGGGACCUGCAAUGUUCUUGAAUGUAAUUGGAAAAAAUUCAAGUGUGUGUACUCAGGAGCACAUGUACUAAGAAGAGAUGCUGUGAAUCACGUAAUCGAUUGCAUUUUCAAAAUCUUGGGUCCAAAUCCAUGUUACGCAUCUACUAAGCAUACCGUGUAAUCCUGGCAUCUGUUUUUUGCACAGUAAUCCAUUGCCAACCACAGGUCAUUAGAGAAGAGAUAGUGAAUGCUUGGCUCUUUAAGUAUAAUGUGUUUAGAAUACUUUAAGAAUUUCCUAUACAUGGAAAGAUUUGGAAGAGUCCUUCAUUCAUAGGUGAGUAUGAGAUUAUUUGAAGGACUGCUAAUUUCUAGGACUUGGAGUCUGGAAGCAUAGUUUCUCAAAAUAUAGUGAAUGAAUUGCUGCUGGGACAUAACGUUAUUUUAGGUGGUAGAUGAACAAACACCUUUAAACUUUAAUAGCUGAGAUUUUUAAAAUUUUAAAUAUGAGGUGGAAAAAUAUAGCUAAUUAAACACACUGGAGAUUUAGUGAGAUAACUGAAAUUAAUCUAUAGAUAUAUCUAUUAUUUUAUAUAUAUAUACACACUCCCCAUAGUAGCAUCACCACCUCCCUUUACUCUUUGCCAAAGGUCAUUGGAGAAGAUAAUGAGUCCUUGGCUCUUUAAGGGUAAGGUGUUUUGAACAUUUUAAGAAUUUCCUAUACAUGGAAAGAUUUGGAACAGUCCUUCUUUCAUAGGUACCAUAUGCUAAUAUUAUAAUAUAUUUAUUGUAUAUAAUAUAUACAUGCACUAUAAUAGGUAGUGACUAUAGCAAAUUCCUGUGUUCUUUUUCAUGAUAUAUUAACACCUCUUACAAGGAUAUGGCAGCCAAAAUUAUGAAGAGAUUAUACUCAUGGCUAAACUUUGAGAAAUACUGCCCUUAAAGUGAAAGAUUGGUUAGGUAAAUGAUAUAUUCUUCAUUCAGUUCAUAUGUCUUCCCUCAGUCAGGGAUACUGAGCAUUUUGCUACUCGCAACACCAAUGAACAAGAGAGAGUGCAUUAGGAUAACAUUUUCCAGUGAAAAAACAUAAGCACUAUGUACUGCCUACUAAUAUAUUAUUUUGCUUAUUCUGGUUUAAGGUAACACAAGAAUUGUUUUUAAAUUGUAAAUUGUGCAGAAAGUUAAUCAGUUUGAAGGAGGGAUUUUUUAUUUCUGGCUACAAAAUUUGAGUAUCCAGGGGAUUACAGGUGGGUAAAUCUGUUUGCAUAUUUAUUCUUUCAAUUGUAUAUUCAAUAAAUAUUUAUUAGGUUUCUAUUUUUUCUUUCAGUUGACUAUAAAACACUUAUCAUAUACAUGUUUUACAAAAAUUAUUGGCCUCAUUUUUGUUGAUAUCAAAGAAAAGAGAGACGUCCACAAUUGUUUGUUAGGUACAAUUAUCUGAACAGAUUUGUGUGCUUUUUUUGUCAUAAGAAUAGAAAACAGUGUUUUGCAAGUUGUGGGUCAUGCACCAUCUGGAGGAAAGUCUCCUGAGAUUCUUCCCAAUAUUCAAGUUCUCUUGGCGGGGUCUGGAAGUCUACAAUUUUAACUAACUUUUAGGUGAUUUUUAUUCAUACUUGAAAGUUUAGGAGCCACUAAGAAAGAGAGUGGGUAGUCUACCCUUUGUGCAGAUUUCCACAUGUAAAUGGAUGUUAAACAUUUCCUUAAAUAAUUGUUAAGUAUAGUUCUACAAUUUGAGGAUUAGCUGAUUGUUUUUAUUCUUUCAUUCUCAACUCCUUCAGCCCCUGCCCAAGGCAUACACACAUAGGUCUCUAACACUUUAAGCUAAAAUGGCUUUGAAAAAUGUGGAUUCUUCUACUAUUAUGUCCUUAUAUAAACUUGAAUAACACCCAAAUGCAAUGUUUUAAUUUCGCUUGAUUUUCAAAAUGUUUAAUUAAAUAAACAACACACACAUGUGCGCAUGCACACACACACACACACACACUGUAAAUAUGGAAGCUGAAAAACAAAAUAUCUUCACAGGAUACUACAGAUUGAAUAUCUGAUUGUGCUUCAAGAUAUUUUCAUUGAUUCAUUUGAUACAUUUUCUGUUGAGCUGAUAAAAAAUUAUCAGAACAAUCGUUGGUUUUAGGAUAAUUUUAUUGCUACUUCUAGCUGUACCCUGGCAAGGAAAAAAAAAAUAAAGAAAAAUGUAAACACAUCUUGUUCUAAUGCAGAGAUGAAUAGCACUGAAAGAGUCCCAGUGUGGCACUUCUGGCUUUGGUCAACAAGGCUGAAAAGCAACCUGGGACAAACAAGGGAAAAUGGAGGGGAAAUGUUCCCAUAAAUUCAAAAUUAAGUUCCUUCUUCAAUUUCCGUGAAACAAACUCCCUGUGGUGAACAUCUGGCAGGCCAUUAACUUUUGUUACUUUAUUUUAUUAAAAAAUCUUAAGGUGAGAAAAAUUUCUCUGUUUGGAGACUUGAUUUAGCAUUCAGGCUACAAUUCUAGGCCAUUGUGUUGUCAUUUGCAUGGUACCCAUGAUCCAAUAGGGCAUAUCACACUUACAGCUUCUACUGUUUUCCAUCAAAGAUUGUGGUUAUUUGUCAUUCUUUAAAAGUCAUUAAUUCUGAGUUAUUUUUUAAAUAUAUAAAUCAGCUGAUUGGUGGUCCAUAUCUGCUGGAAGAAAAUGAUUGCAAGAUUCUUCAUACUUUGUAGGCAUUUUCUUACUUGCAUUUUUUCACUGCAUUAUUUUGUACAGGAGUUUGAACAUUAAAACUAUUUACAUAGAACUUUUUCAAUGAUCCAUCAGAAGGAUGUGAACUGUUGAUUGUACCAUUUUCUUUAUUUGCACAGCUGCUAUAACCUUCAAUCUAAAUUAUUUUUUUACUCUCUUUCUCUUUUCUUUCUCUUUUUUUUUCUUUUGUGAGCUAAUUGUCACUUUCGUAAGUAAAUGUUCGUAUUCCACCCCCAGAACUAUUCUUGCACAUUACCUUUAAGCCAUUGCAAUUGCUUAUUAGUCAGGUUAUUUUCUGUGAAAAGUUCUGAGUAAAUGUUAAACAAAUGAAAAUUAUUUACUUUUUCUUGAGUAUAAUGUCAUUUAUGAACAUGCAUCUUUAUAUUUCCUUGAUUAUAUGUGUGCAUCUAUCUGUCUAUCUAAUCUCAUCUGUCUUUCUUAUUUAGCAUAUGAGGUGUGUUAGUCUGUUCUCAUGCUGCUAAUAAAUACAUACCCAAGACUGGAAAAUUUAUAAAGGAUUGAGGUUUAAUGGACUCACAGUUCCACAUGGUUGGGGAGACGUCACAAUCAUGGCAGAAGAUAAAGGAAGAGCAAAGAGACACCUUACAUGGCGGCAGGCAAGAGAGUGUGUGCAGGGGACCUCCCAUUUAUAAAACCAUAAGAUCUCAUGAGACUUAUUCACUAUCAUGAGAGCAGCAUGGGAAAGACCCACUCCCAUGACUCAAUUACCUCCCACUGAAUCCCUCCCAUGACACAUGGGAAUUAUGGGAGCUACAGUUCAAGAUGAGAUUUGGGUGGGGACACAGCUAAACCAUAUCAUGAGGUUUAAAUAAAGCAGUUGUAAGUUAAAAAUGUACUCAAUUUUAUGAAUAAAUCUAAUAAGUAUUUUCCCCCUACAGCAAUACACAAGUAUAGUUUAUACUUAUUAUAAUUGCCUUGCCCCUGGACAGUGAUACAGUACUUAUUGCAAGCUGCUAACUGAUCCUUAAUCUUUUAUGAGUAAAAACAUACACAUUUUCUUCUUCUUUUGGCUUUUUGUUGAAUGAAAUGCAGAAAAACUUCAAUAUUGU
This is a long non-coding RNA of Papio anubis (olive baboon), 4148 nucleotides long. NCBI's taxonomy places the organism in Eukaryota, Metazoa, Chordata, Mammalia, Primates, Cercopithecidae. The record is from Ensembl.